Molecule: long non-coding RNA, 568 nt
Filed under: Phoenix dactylifera (date palm)
Lineage: Eukaryota; Viridiplantae; Streptophyta; Magnoliopsida; Arecales; Arecaceae
Description: long non-coding RNA (PDAC_LNC020592)
Source: RNAcentral
UCUCCCGUGCCGGUCUCCUCCUCUCUGUGCCAGUCUCCUCCCCUCUGUUUCAUCAGUGAAACAGAGGGGAGAAUACCCCACAGAGGGGUACCUCCACCCUGUCCUUGCCUAGAGACCUACUUACAGAGCCUUACCUUUUCUUGUGGUCGGUUGAAGCUGUGGGGUAUCACUUCGGUUCAUAGUCCCUCCUUCCUCUCUUGGGGCUGCGGGUACCUUCUACCUCCAGCUCCUGGGACUAGCUUCCUGGUACAGCAAUUCCAGGGGGUUAGAGGUUAGGGAGGGUAGAUGCAAGGUUCGGGGGGGUUUGCAGGCUUUGGGCUAUAAAAGCUUGGCUUAGGAUUUGACCCCAAGGAGAGGUGGCAUUCUCUCCUUCCUCAGUGCCCUGGGAGCCACCACCUGCCCCUCCCUUCAGGCCAGCUCAGGGUUUAGCUGCCGAGGAGGAGUAGGUGGCGGGCUCUGGUUGUGCAUGCUUGUGGGGGUCUCUUCUUUGGCCAUCUGGUGGUCCUGUCUUUUCAGCCAUCGGGGAAGAUGGUAUUCUGUUCUUCCUGGGCCUGCAAGGCUGUUAACC